AAGUCUUGUCCCUAAAAUUAUUUUCAUUUUAAAAUGUUGGUAAUAUUACCGUAAUAUUCUUGAUUAUAAAAUAUAGUAACGAUUAACUUCAUCACAUAAAGUUACAAAUAAAUAGUAGGUCUACUUUAGGGAGGCAUAGAAUUAAUUUCUACGCCUAACACAAUGUCAAGUUCGCGCCUAGAGUUGAAUUAUGCGAUGAAUGACCUCGAUGAAUUAAGUUCCUAAGAAAGAGCGACAAUGUUAACGGUACAUCGGAAUCCUUCGGUAGGAAGCCAACAAAACUGGUCUCCAAUCUGGGUCACGACCUGCUUCCUACUCACCUACAGACCUAUCUACCUGACUGUCGGGCUCAGGUAUGCGCAACCUUCCUCGUGCCUACCUAAAAACUCUCCCUGGUCGUUCAUCUUGUUUUAAGCCACUUUCUUCCACCUGAUCGGAACCGAUACGCGGAAUGUGGACGUUAAAAAUUGUAAUAAAAGCUUCGCACGUCGCGAUGUUUAUCACUUCGACUAUUAAAGGCGCACUAGAACACUUAUUAACGAUAUUUUUAUAUAUUAACGGUCGCGUGGGUCAAUCGAGACCCACGCCUCACGAUUUCAAUGUUUCCAUAAAGAUGCUCGAAUAGUGGUUUAUUCGUGAAUUUAUUACGAACAAACGGUUCAAUGAAAUCAUUCGACAUUUUGUACACGUUUGUAUACGUGUCAGUCGAAAACAUCGAGUUGACCUUGAAAUGAUCCGUGUCAUUGCUCCUUUUGAUUUACCAAAACCCAAAUAUUUCUGUGAAACUUAUACUUUCGAAGAUAUCUGAGGUACUAAUUAUUGCCCCACCCUGUAUAUUCAAAUUUUUGAGAGUACCUUUAUAUGAAAAAAAAGUUUCAAGAACAAAAAAUUAGAAAAAACCUUGGCUAGACUAGACUCUCCCCAUGAAAAGAAGAGUUACAAGCUUAAAAUGAAAGACACAAAAAAGAAAAAGAAGAAGGUGUGCUAUAUGGUGCUUGAAUCGAUGAUUAACCAAUGAAACUGUGGCCUUCAGAAUGUACAUAAUCAACUACGUCUGAUGGUGAUCUUUGUAGCAGCAGGUAUCUUCCAUAUUUUCCGAGGAUAUACUUCGAAAAAAUUACGAUAUUUAUUGGAGUAUAUGUAUAAAACAUUCUUAAAGUUUUUUUUUUUCAGAAAAAAGAACUCAUAGAUAUCACUAAAAGAAUGUCCUAAACUGCACAAGUCCUAAAACUGUAUAUCUAUACAAAAAUGUAAUCCUAAGCUUAUUUCCUCGUUGAAUAAUGUUAAAGGAAGUUAUGUGGGCCAUGGUCGAGGACGAUUUCGUCCCGUGACUUUGGGUGUGGGUCAGGGUCACAGAUGAGAGAACUGUUUGGUACCGUCACGCGCGAUUAUACUCCGCACUCCGGGUCAGUGGCCUCAUUUUGUUUCGGACCGGCUGCUCGGUGAAAGGCGAGGAAAAAUUCCAACCCGGUCACACCUUUAUCGGAUCUCGUCUUGGAGUAAUGUAGAAAGUUAAUUGGCCGACGCGACGUCUAAUUAAGAGUUCCUCGACGCGCCUGUCUGCGCCGUUCGUUUACUCCGCGACGCAUUCUUCGACUGUGCCAUUCAUACAAAUAUUAGAAGCCCAAAUCAAUUAGCUCCAAUUUUAGAAUUUUUUUUUUCAAUUUUAGCAAUUGAAUCCUUUUCAAUUUUAGCGUCGAGGGACUCGAUCCUGACUUCCUUUAUUCGUAAUAAAUUUCCUUAAUGAUAAUUAUCAACAAUGCUAAAAGACAAUGUUUGGUUGGCCAUCAAAUAAAUGAACAGAUUUUUUGCAUUCAUAGGAAAUUUGAAUGUGCAAGAAACUACAAAAUGCGCGCAAUACGCAGAAAUAUAAUAAAAGAAAAAACAUUAAAAGUAAAGCGAAUAUUGUAAUAUCUGCAGAAGAUCUAAGUUUCGCAUCAGUUAACGAAAGUAUUUACGUAUGUAUUUAAUUCAUAAUGUAUCCCACAAAUUAAGUCUGAAAUUAACAUCUAAUUUUGUGAGUACUUUAAUAUCUGAGUACUUUAAUACCCCACACUUGAGUCCAGUACUUUACAAUAUGCCUGUAACGUGGAGUAAUUUCAAUGUCAGUUACGUUUGUGGACUCGUAUUCGAUGCUCUACGUGACUUACAUAUUCCGUGUCGAUUACUUUAACGUACGAUUGUCCAGUUACUGCCAGAUAUGGCAAAACCAUCCACCAAGCCUGUGCAUUGAAGUAACAAAAAAGAAAAGCAAGGAAAUUACAAGCAGAGGCUACUACUUCUACGAACGAGUGGCAAGACAUGCGGGGAUUCCCAGGUAUAAAAGAAAAAAACAUUCUGCGAGGAUUGUCGACCCUUUGGAACUAUUUUACCUGCGGUUA
This is a long non-coding RNA of Hylaeus volcanicus, 2381 nucleotides long. RefSeq lists it as uncharacterized. NCBI's taxonomy places the organism in Eukaryota, Metazoa, Arthropoda, Insecta, Hymenoptera, Colletidae. The transcript is spliced from 3 exons. The record is from RefSeq and is a predicted model, not a curated record.